AGUGAACGCUGGCGGUAGGCCUAACACAUGCAAGUCGAACGGCAGCACAGAGGAGCUUGCUCCUUGGGUGGCGAGUGGCGGUCGGGUGAGGAAUACAUCGGAAUCUACUCUGUCGUGGGGGAUAACGUAGGGAAACCUACGCUAAUACCGCAUACGACCUACGGGUGAAAGCAGGGGACCUUCGGGCCUUGCGCGAUUGAAUGAGCCGAUGUCGGAUUAGCUAGUUGGCGGGGUAACGGCCCACCAAGGCGACGAUCCGUAGCUGGUCUGAGAGGAUGAUCAGCCACACUGGAACUGAGACGCGGUCCAGACUCCUACGAGAGGCAGCAGUGGGGAAUAUUGGACAAUGGGCGCAAGCCUGAUCCAGCCAUACCGCGUGGGUGAAGAAGGCCUUCGGGUUGUAAAGCCCUUUUGUUGGGAAAGAAAUCCAGCUGGCUAAUACCCGGUUGGGAUGACGGUACCCAAAGAAUAAGCACCGGCUAACUCCGUGCCAGCAGCCGCCGUAA
This 506-nucleotide ribosomal RNA is filed under the name uncultured bacterium. RNAcentral describes it as "partial 16S ribosomal RNA". It matches the Rfam family "Bacterial small subunit ribosomal RNA", at positions 29 to 523 of the family's 1533-position model. The record is from RNAcentral.